AGCGAACGCUGGCGGCAGGCUUAACACAUGCAAGUCGAGCGGGCGUAGCAAUACGUCAGCGGCAGACGGGUGAGUAACGCGUGGGAACAUACCUUUUGGUUCGGAACAACACAGGGAAACUUGUGCUAAUACCGGAUAAGCCCUUACGGGGAAAGAUUUAUCGCCGAAAGAUUGGCCCGCGUCUGAUUAGCUAGUUGGUGAGGUAACGGCUCACCAAGGCGACGAUCAGUAGCNGGUCUGAGAGGAUGAUCAGCCACAUUGGGACUGAGAUACGGCCCAGACUCCUACGGGGGCAGCAAUUAGGAAUCUUGCGCAAUGGGCGAAAGCCUGACGCAGCGACGUCGC
This 345-nucleotide ribosomal RNA is filed under the name uncultured bacterium. Its description in RNAcentral is "bacterial SSU rRNA". It matches the Rfam family "Bacterial small subunit ribosomal RNA", at positions 29 to 400 of the family's 1533-position model. The record is from RNAcentral.